AGGAUGAACGCUGGCGGCGUGCUUAACACAUGCAAGUCGAACGAUGAUGCCCAGCUUGCUGGGUGGAUUAGUGGCGAACGGGUGAGUAACACGUGAGUAACCUGCCCUUGACUCUGGAAUAAGCGUUGGAAACGACGUCUAAUACCGGAUACGAGCUUCCGCCGCAUGGUGAGGAGCUGGAAAGAUUUCGGUCAAGGAUGGACUCGCGGCCUAUCAGGUAGUUGGUGAGGUAAUGGCUCACCAAGCCUACGGACGGGUAGCCGGCCUGAGAGGGUGACCGGCCACACUGGAACUGACGACACGGUCCAGACUCCGUACGGGACGCAGCAGGUAGGGAAUAGUUGACACAAUGGGCGCAAGCCUGAUGCA
RNAcentral lists this ribosomal RNA (369 nucleotides) under uncultured soil bacterium. Its description in RNAcentral is "bacterial SSU rRNA". It matches the Rfam family "Bacterial small subunit ribosomal RNA", at positions 26 to 390 of the family's 1533-position model. The record is from RNAcentral.